RNAcentral lists this ribosomal RNA (454 nucleotides) under Salipiger bermudensis. RNAcentral's name for it is "bacterial SSU rRNA". It matches the Rfam family "Bacterial small subunit ribosomal RNA", at positions 388 to 860 of the family's 1533-position model. The record is from RNAcentral. Lineage: Bacteria; Pseudomonadati; Pseudomonadota; Alphaproteobacteria; Rhodobacterales; Roseobacteraceae.
CUAGCCAUGCCGCGUGAGUGAUGAAGGCCUUAGGGUCGUAAAGCUCUUUCGCUGGGGAAGAUAAUGACGGUACCCAGUAAAGAAACCCCGGCUAACUCCGUGCCAGCAGCCGCGGUAAUACGGAGGGGGUUAGCGUUGUUCGGAAUUACUGGGCGUAAAGCGCGCGUAGGCGGAUCAGAAAGUUGGGGGUGAAAUCCCGGGGCUCAACCUCGGAACUGCCUCCAAAACUCCUGGUCUUGAGUUCGAGAGAGGUGAGUGGAACUCCGAGUGUAGAGGUGAAAUUCGUAGAUAUUCGGAAGAACACCAGUGGCGAAGGCGGCUCACUGGCUCGAUACUGACGCUGAGGUGCGAAAGUGUGGGGAGCAAACAGGAUUAGAUACCCUGGUAGUCCACACCGUAAACGAUGAAUGCCAGUCGUCGGGUAGCAUGCUAUUCGGUGACACACCUAACGGAU